AUGAAGGUUGUAUUGAGAGCUCUUGAAAUACUCUUCCAGCAAAUGCCAUGCUUCAGGUGCUGUGUCAGCUGGAGCCUUCUGUGUGCCGGUUUGCCUCGCAGAUGGCACUGUACCCAAUCCACAAUGCUGUGUCUUAGUGAUUCUGAGCACCUCUAACGUCGAGAAUGCUGUGUUAAAAGUCCUAGUAGGUCUAACAUUCUUGGGCAUGUUGACUAGUCCUGUGCGGAGCAACAUGCUUUGGAAAUAGGACAGAAAUUGGAGCAACAAAAUGUGGGGGAUGCAGGUAUUUCUUAAGGCUUAAAUUAUAUCUCAUGUCAUAACAUGCAAGUGUUGAAAUGCACAUUUGACAUAAAUGAGUUACACAAAAUUAAUAUUUCUUCCUUGCAAACUCAAGAAGCAACCACACGAUACUCUGGCAAGAUUCCUUGUUUUUCAACAGACACACAUGUAUAUAAAUUUUUUUAUAUAUAUAUUUACAUACAUGAACUGUUUACUGUUCAUUCUCUCGUUUAUUUACUGAAAAGGAUACGCAGCAGUAAAUGUAAAGGAAGAAUCUCACUAACAUUCUGAUUUUUGACUACAGAUGUCAGAAUCGAACAACCUUUGUGGGAAAGAGAUGCUAUCUGAGAUCUGAAUCACUGCAAAGCUGCGGAUUCGAAGAACAAGAACCACCACUACCACUACUCCAGCCCUAAUAAUACACAAUUGCCGUGAACCAAGACCUCUAAUGCAGCGUAGGUGUGGCAAGAGCCAAAGCCUUUGUGUAGUGCCGAGCGGGUUUGAGGCGAAAAGCCUGGCUGUGAAGAGAGAGAGAGAGCAUGGACCACUCCAACUCCAACUAGUUGAACCACUUCCAAACAGCCUCCAUGGCUAGGAUUUCCACAACAAGCCGGGAGGGACUUCCACUUAAGGGGUAUAUUCCUCUUGCUUCGGAUGAACUCCACGAAUUCGAUACAAAGCAAGCUGUUCCAUUUUACAUGCAGGAAAAUCACACACAUAACCACCAGAUAUUUUGCUUAGCACUCUGGAGUCCACUCAUUCUUCUUCCAGUAGUUUCCUUCCUUUCUCUUGCUACUUGAAGCUUUUGAAAAGCAUGGAUGAGUUGGGUUUGUAACGCACUCUUCCAGUGUACAAUUGGGGCAUUGGCAAAGCUGGACAACAUCAUUUUGCAAAAA
This is a non-coding RNA of Physcomitrium patens, 1175 nucleotides long. The record is from RefSeq and is a predicted model, not a curated record. Lineage: Eukaryota; Viridiplantae; Streptophyta; Bryopsida; Funariales; Funariaceae.